This 437-nucleotide ribosomal RNA is filed under the name uncultured bacterium. Its description in RNAcentral is "bacterial SSU rRNA". It matches the Rfam family "Bacterial small subunit ribosomal RNA", at positions 958 to 1398 of the family's 1533-position model. The record is from RNAcentral.
AACGCGAAGAACCUUACCUACUCUUGACAUCCUCGGAAUCCUCUAGAGAUAGAGGAGUGCCUUCGGGAACCGAGAGACAGGUGCUGCAUGGCUGUCGUCAGCUCGUGUCGUGAGGUGUUGGGUUAAGUCCCGCAACGAGCGCAACCCUUACUCAUAGUUGCUACCCGCAAGGGAGAACUCUAUGAGGACUGCUCCGGAUAACGGAGAGGAAGGUGGGGAUGAGGUCAAGUCAGCAUGGCCUUUAUGUCCAGGGCUACACACGUGUUACAAUGCGCGCUACAGAGGGUUGCAACCCCGCGAGGGUGAGCUAAUCCCCAAAAGUCGUCUCAGUUCGGAUUGCACUCUGCAACUCGAGUGCAUGAAGUCGGAAUCGCUAGUAAUCGCGGAUCAGCAUGCCGCGGUGAAUACGUUCCCGGGCCUUGUACACACCGAGUAUA